Non-coding RNA from Dermacentor andersoni, 567 nucleotides. The record is from RefSeq and is a predicted model, not a curated record. Lineage: Eukaryota; Metazoa; Arthropoda; Arachnida; Ixodida; Ixodidae.
GAAUUUUUUAAAGCACAUCGCAGUUUCAAAACGAGUGUCAAAAGCUUUCAGAUUUUAGUGCCAUUGAGGCCGAAUGCGACGCCAGCACCGCGCCGCGCCUGUCCUCAUAAUUUUUUUUUUUCUCCGGCGCGGACGUUCGCGCUCGCCGAGAAAUACUGUAGCGAGCGUGAACCCAAGUCAGCUGAUUUUGGACAGGUUUCGCCAUCUGUCGCCGGCGCGGCGCAACUAUCGCUCCUAUGCGUGAAGUCGGCCAUGUUGACUGUGGAUCGGUGUUGCCGUCGUCGAGCCGCCGUUGAUGAAAAAUCUUUCCCGGCGGUAGCGUAGCACCCAAACGCCAAGCUGGAUAGGCUACCGGAAUACCUCCGCGACACCGUCGACUGGUUUAUGGGAUGACAUUGUCCUGUUCAGCAGCGCUGGGGACGGCUUGCAACAAAUGAUUGAGGACCGAAAUCCUGCAGUGCCCAAACACAGUCCCACAUCAAGAGAAAUUGGAAGAACUUGUUAUCAUUUAUUUCUGACCCUGAAUAGUACGUUAAGAACAACCAAUGAAAUUUUUAUUGUGCUUAA